RNAcentral lists this ribosomal RNA (454 nucleotides) under Streptomyces sp. EYN-4-2. RNAcentral describes it as "bacterial SSU rRNA". It matches the Rfam family "Bacterial small subunit ribosomal RNA", at positions 60 to 528 of the family's 1533-position model. The record is from RNAcentral. Lineage: Bacteria; Bacillati; Actinomycetota; Actinomycetes; Kitasatosporales; Streptomycetaceae.
AGUCGAACGAUGAAGCCCCUUCGGGGGUGGAUUAGUGGCGAACGGGUGAGUAACACGUGGGCAAUCUGCCCUGCACUCUGGGACAAGCCCUGGAAACGGGGUCUAAUACCGGAUACGACCCUCUGAGGCAUCUCAUGGGGGUGGAAAGCUCCGGCGGUGCAGGAUGAGCCCGCGGCCUAUCAGCUUGUUGGUGAGGUAACGGCUCACCAAGGCGACGACGGGUAGCCGGCCUGAGAGGGCGACCGGCCACACUGGGACUGAGACACGGCCCAGACUCCUACGGGAGGCAGCAGUGGGGAAUAUUGCACAAUGGGCGCAAGCCUGAUGCAGCGACGCCGCGUGAGGGAUGACGGCCUUCGGGUUGUAAACCUCUUUCAGCAGGGAAGAAGCGUAAGUGACGGUACCUGCAGAAGAAGCGCCGGCUAACUACGUGCCAGCAGCCGCGGUAAUUCCA